AUGAGAACAAAACAAUUUUUUCUUAGUACUUUAUAUUUUUUUUUCAUAUCACUAUACUCAUUUACAAUUAGGUCUCGCGCACCUCCUAUUUCACGACUCAAAGAAACUAGCAUGACUUUAUGUCUUCGUGCUCACAUUCUCUUCUCCUUGAACUUUGAUCCUUCCAA
Ipomoea nil (Japanese morning glory) is the source of this 167-nucleotide long non-coding RNA. RefSeq lists it as uncharacterized. The record is from RefSeq and is a predicted model, not a curated record. Lineage: Eukaryota; Viridiplantae; Streptophyta; Magnoliopsida; Solanales; Convolvulaceae. The transcript has 2 exons.